This 402-nucleotide ribosomal RNA is filed under the name uncultured bacterium. Its description in RNAcentral is "partial 16S ribosomal RNA". It matches the Rfam family "Bacterial small subunit ribosomal RNA", at positions 30 to 526 of the family's 1533-position model. The record is from RNAcentral.
AUUGAACGCUAGCGGGAUGCUAACACAUGCAAGUCGAACGAGUGGCGGACGGGUGAGUAAUAUAUCGGAACGUGCCCAGUAGCGGGGGAUAACUACUCGAAAGACUGCUAUACCGAAUACUAUUGGAGCGGCCGUUAUCGGAUUAGCUAGGUGGUGGGGUAAAGGAUCACCAAGGCAACGAUCCGUAGCUGGUUUGAGAGGACGACCAGCCACAAUGGAACUGAGACACGGCCCAGACUCCUACGGGAGGCAGCAGGGGGGAAUUUUGGACAAUGGGGGAAAGCCUGAUCCAGCCAUCCCGCGUGGAUGAAGAAGGCUUCGGGUUGUAAAGUACUUUCAGUCGGGAGGCGUUACCUACAGAAGAAGCACCGGCUAACUCCGUGCCAGCAGCCGCGGUAAGUC